GAUCUGGCUCAGAUUGAACGCUGGCGGCGUGCUUAACACAUGCAAGUCGCGCGUGAAAGGACUUCGGUCCGAGUAAAGCGGCGCACGGGUGUGUAACGCGUGGAUGAUCUACCCAUGAGUUAGGAAUAACGGCUGGAAACGGUCGCUAAUACCAAAUACGCUCCGAUUUCAACUUCGGGGGAAAGGUGGCCUCUGCUUGCAAGCUACUGCUCAUGGAUGAGUCCGCGUCCCAUUAGCUAGUUGGUGGGGUAACGGCCCACCAAGGCGACGAUGGGUAGCCGGUCUGAGAGGAUGACCGGCCACACUGGGACUGGAACACGGCCCAGACUCCUACGGGAGGCAGCAGUGGGGAAUAUUGCGCAAUGGGCGAAAGCCUGACGCAGCGACGCCGCGUGAGGGAUGAAGGUCCUCGGAUCGUAAACCUCUGUCAGGAGGGAAGAACCGCCACGGUGCUAAUCAGCCGUGGUCUGACGGUACCUCCAAAGGAAGCACCGGCUAACUCCGUGCCAGCAGCCGC
Molecule: ribosomal RNA, 517 nt
Filed under: uncultured bacterium
Lineage: Bacteria
Description: bacterial SSU rRNA
Rfam family: Bacterial small subunit ribosomal RNA
Source: RNAcentral